UACGUAGGGGGCUAGCGUUGUCCGGAUUUACUGGGCGUAAAGGGCGCGUAGGCGGUGUGUCAAGUCAGGCGUGAAAGCCCCGGGCUCAACCUGGGAACCGCGCUUGAGACUGGCACGCUAGAGUUCGGGAGAGGAUGGUGGAAUUCCCAGUGUAGAGGUGAAAUUCGUAGAUAUUGGGAAGAACACCGAUGGCGAAGGCAGCCAUCUGGACCGACACUGACGCUGAGGCGCGAAAGCGUGGGGAGCAAACAGG
Molecule: ribosomal RNA, 253 nt
Filed under: uncultured bacterium
Lineage: Bacteria
Description: partial 16S ribosomal RNA
Rfam family: Bacterial small subunit ribosomal RNA
Source: RNAcentral